UAGAUUUUGGUACACGUUUAGGAUUUAUUAAGUCUAGAAUAAUUUUCUUUAAUAAAUAAUUGAUAAAUAAUUAAUAACCUUUAGUACUAUUGUAGAACUAAUUUCCAAAAAUAAUUCAAAAUUUCAGGAAUUUAACUCAAAUGUGGGAGCAACAUUACCCGGAAUGUUUGCUCCGUAUUCUAUGGUCCGAGCCCCGGACCAUGUUUCUGCUCCGUUUGUAAUAAUCGCAUCCACCACAGAUCGGUCUUGGUAAGACACAACGGAUGUAUGGAGUGGAUGCAUUUCCUGCUGCGCCAAUGUAGACCCCAGUGAGUCUUUAUCUUCGUCGCCGUCGCAGCAAUCUCCACAACAGCAAUUCAUGCAGAAGUUGACGCCACACAUUUCUGUUCAUGUUCCGGACAACGCAUCUUUUCUCCAAUUCAGCUGUGAUAGUUUCUGAGGAUUCGUGGAUGCUCUGGAGAUGAGUGCCUGGAGAUGAUUGCUUUGGAAAGCUUUUAUUGGCGAAGUUUUUUUGUGCAUAAAUUAAGCAUUCGUCGGCACAUAAAAUCGGUUGAAAGCCUCGGUCGAUAUGGAUGAAGUCAUACAGAAAGAUGUUAAAAAUGUAUGUGGCUAAAACACUUCCAUGCGGCACCCCUUUUUGUACUAAACCGUAACAGACGACAUGUUGUUGAUGUUAAUUGAAAACUUUCGUGGAUUAAGAAAAAACUUGCCAUCAAGUUGACCAGAUACUAAUUUGGAUUAACUCCUUAAGUACUCCUGCGUGACAUAUGGAGUCAAAUGCUUUUGACGUUAUAUCACUGUGGAGCUUCAGUAGUGCAUGUUGUGUGGAAUGGCCAGAACCCAAAUUGAUUUAUUCCAGGCCGCUUGAUUUUUGACGUUUGGUGUUAUUGAUGUGGCGACAUAGAUGCAUGCUGUGCCUCUGGAGAUAAGAUCGUCUACAGGAUUUGUGAAAAAAUUGUAGUUCUGGAUCUCGGGAUCAUCCAAAUAUGAGGAAAUUAGGAUAUGGGCCAAAAAUGAGGAAUCAUUUGGAUACGAUUUGUGGAACCACGAAGACGUGUGACAUCUAGUGGGUUAUCAGCCUACCAUACAUGCAGCGUUUUACUAUUAGAAUUCUUAUGUAGAUCACCCCAUAAGGUACUUUUUGAUAAGUCCGUCUAAGUUUUUUCAAAGUUCUAGCCUUUUCUUUAAAAUCUAUUGUUUACUGGGAUACUGCGGGGAUUGUAUGCUGAGCCUAUGAGGUAUUUAAAGGUAUUGGUGUUUCUCAAUAUUUCUUUUUGAAUAAACGACAUACCAAUACUAACGUCGUUUAAA
This is a long non-coding RNA of Musca domestica (house fly), 1311 nucleotides long. RefSeq lists it as uncharacterized. Lineage: Eukaryota; Metazoa; Arthropoda; Insecta; Diptera; Muscidae. The transcript has 3 exons. The record is from RefSeq and is a predicted model, not a curated record.